GAUUGCCCUAGUAACGGCGAGUGAAGCGGCAACAGCUCAAAUUUGAAAUCUGGCUCUUUCAGGGUCCGAGUUGUAAUUUGUAGAGGGUGCUUUGGCGUUGGCUGCGGUCUAAGUUCCUUGGAACAGGACGUCAUGGAGGGUGAGAAUCCCGUACGUGGCUGACAGUCUUCGCCGUGUAAAGCCCCUUCGACGAGUCGAGUUGUUUGGGAAUGCAGCUCUAAAUGGGAGGUAAAUUUCUUCUAAAGCUAAAUAUUGGCCAGAGACCGAUAGCGCACAAGUAGAGUGAUCGAAAGAUGAAAAGCACUUUGGAAAGAGAGUCAAAAAGCACGUGAAAUUGUUGAAAGGGAAGCGCUUGCAGCCAGACUUGCCUGUAGUUGCUCAUCCGGGCUCUCGCCCGGUGCACUCUUCUGCGGGCAGGCCAGCAUCAGUUCGAGCGGCCGGAUAAAGACCUCUGUCACGUAUCUUCCUUCGGGAUGACCUUAUAGGGGAGGUGUAAUGCGGCCAGCUCGGAUUGAGGUCCGCGCAUCUGCUAGGAUGCUGGCGUAAUGGCUGUAAGCGGCCCGUCUUGAAACACGGACCAAGGAGUCUAACAUCUAUGCGAGUGUUUGGGUGUCAAGCCCGGGCGCGCAAUGAAAGUGAACGGAGGUGGGAACCCCUCGGGGCGCACCAUCGACCGAUCCUGAUGUCUUCGGAUGGAUUUGAGUAAGAGCAUAGCUGUUGGGACCCGAAAGAUGGUGAACUAUGCCUGAAUAGGGUGAAGCCAGAGGAAACUCUGGUGGAGGCUCGCAGCGGUUCUGACGUGCAAAUCGAUCGUCAAAUUUGGGCAUAGGGGCGAAAGACUAAUCGAACUAUCUAGUAGCUGGUUCCUGCCGAAGUUUCCCUCAGGAUAGCAGUAACGUUUUCAGUUUUAUGAGGUAAAGCGAAUGAUUAGAGGCCUGGGGGUUGAAACAACCUUCACCUAUUCUCAAACUUUAAAUAUGUAAGAAGUCCUUGUUACUUAAUUGAACGUGGACAUUUGAAUGUACCGUUACUAGUGGGCCAUUUUUGGUAAGCAGAACUGGCGAUGCGGGAUGAACCGAACGCGGGGUUAAGGUGCCGGAAUGCACGCUCAUCAGACACCACAAAAGGUGUUAGUUCAUCUAGACAGCAGGACGGUGGCCAUGGAAGUCGGAAUCCGCUAAGGAGUGUGUAACAACUCACCUGCCGAAUGAACUAGCCCUGAAAAUGGAUGGCGCUCAAGCGUGCUACCCAUACCCCGCCGCCAGGGCAGAAAUUACGCCCUGGCGAGUAGGCAGGCGUGGAGGCUCGUGACGAAGCCUUGGGGGUGACCCCGGGUUGAACAGCCUCUAGUGAAUUG
RNAcentral lists this ribosomal RNA (1357 nucleotides) under Massarina sp. MUT 4860. Its description in RNAcentral is "eukaryotic LSU rRNA". It matches the Rfam family "Eukaryotic large subunit ribosomal RNA", at positions 73 to 1449 of the family's 3401-position model. The record is from RNAcentral. Lineage: Eukaryota; Fungi; Ascomycota; Dothideomycetes; Pleosporales; Massarinaceae.